RNAcentral lists this ribosomal RNA (330 nucleotides) under uncultured bacterium. RNAcentral's name for it is "bacterial SSU rRNA". It matches the Rfam family "Bacterial small subunit ribosomal RNA", at positions 554 to 883 of the family's 1533-position model. The record is from RNAcentral.
UUGGGCGUAACGCGAGCGCAGGCGGUUUGAUAASUCUGAUGUGAAAGCCUUUGGCUUAACCACAGAAGUGCAUCGGACACUCUCACACUUGAGUGCAGAAGAGSACAGUGGAACUCCAUGUGUAGCGGUGGAAUGCGUAGAUAUAUGGAAGAACACCAGUGGCGAAGGCGGCUGUCUGGUCUGCMACUGACGCUGAGGCUCGAAAGCAUGGGUAGCGAACAGGAUUAGAUACCCUGGUAGUCCAUGCCGUAAACGAUGAGUGCUAGGUGUUGGAGGGUUUCCGCCCUUCAGUGCCGCAGUAACGCAUUAAGCACUCCGCCUGGGGAGUAC